CCAGAUUCAUCUUAAUUGUGUCUAUUCCUCGUCCCUGAAGCAUUGUCACCGAUUUACAAGACGAGUCAGUUGCUCAUCCAGUCAGUGCAACUUCUAUUAAGUUGUGUUUCGACUCUCUGAUCUGCCUUCUCUGCCGAGUCGUGUUUCGGCUCUCUGAUACGUCUCUCUGCCGAGUCGUAUUUCAACUCUCUGAUCUGCCUUCUCUGCCGAGUCGUGUUUCGGCUCUCUGAUACGUCUCUCUGCCGAGUCGUGUUUCAACUUUCUGAUAUGUUUCUCUGUUGAGUUGUGUUUCAACUCUUGGAUAUGUCUCUCUACCGAAUCGUUUUCGACUCUCUGAUAUGUUUUUCUCUUUGGGAUUGUCUGCAAUUAAUGUUCCUGAAUCCAUAUGUUCUUAAGGUUUAUUGAUCUGUUGCUGCUUUCUGUCCUUG
RNAcentral lists this long non-coding RNA (428 nucleotides) under Amborella trichopoda. RNAcentral describes it as "long non-coding RNA (ATRI_LNC000583)". Lineage: Eukaryota; Viridiplantae; Streptophyta; Magnoliopsida; Amborellales; Amborellaceae. The record is from RNAcentral.